UACGUAGGGUGCAAGCGUUUAAUCGGAAUUACUGGGCGUAAAGCGUGCGCAGGCGGUUUUGUAAGUCUGUCGUGAAAUCCCCGGGCUUAACCUGGGAACUGCGUUUGAAACUGAAAGGCUAGAGUGUGGCAGAGGGGGGUGGAAUUCCGACGUGUAGCAGUGAAAUGCGUAGAGAUGUGGAGGAACACCGAUGGCGAAGGCAGCCCCCCUGGGCUAACACUGACGCUCAUGCACGAAAGCGUGGGGAGCAAACAGG
This 256-nucleotide ribosomal RNA is filed under the name uncultured bacterium. Its description in RNAcentral is "partial 16S ribosomal RNA". It matches the Rfam family "Bacterial small subunit ribosomal RNA", at positions 524 to 776 of the family's 1533-position model. The record is from RNAcentral.